GGGUUGUGAGGUUAAGCGACUAAGCGUACACGGUGGAUGCCCUGGCAGUCAGAGGCGAUGAAGGACGUGCUAAUCUGCGAUAAGCGUCGGUAAGGUGAUAUGAACCGUUAUAACCGGCGAUUUCCGAAUGGGGAAACCCAGUGUGAUUCGUCACACUAUCAUUAACUGAAUCCAUAGGUUAAUGAGGCGAACCGGGGGAACUGAAACAUCUAAGUACCCCGAGGAAAAGAAAUCAACCGAGAUUCCCCCAGUAGCGGCGAGCGAACGGGGAGCAGCCCAGAGCCUGAAUCAGUGUGUGUGUUAGUGGAAGCGUCUGGAAAGGCGCGCGAUACAGGGUGACAGCCCCGUACACAAAAAUGCACAUGCUGUGAGCUCGAUGAGUAGGGCGGGACACGUGGUAUCCUGUCUGAAUAUGGGGGGACCAUCCUCCAAGGCUAAAUACUCCUGACUGACCGAUAGUGAACCAGUACCGUGAGGGAAAGGCGAAAAGAACCCCGGCGAGGGGAGUGAAAAAGAACCUGAAACCGUGUACGUACAAGCAGUGGGAGCACGCUUAGGCGUGUGACUGCGUACCUUUUGUAUAAUGGGUCAGCGACUUAUAUUCUGUAGCAAGGUUAACCGAAUAGGGGAGCCGAAGGGAAACCGAGUCUUAACUGGGCGUUAAGUUGCAGGGUAUAGACCCGAAACCCGGUGAUCUAGCCAUGGGCAGGUUGAAGGUUGGGUAACACUAACUGGAGGACCGAACCGACUAAUGUUGAAAAAUUAGCGGAUGACUUGUGGCUGGGGGUGAAAGGCCAAUCAAACCGGGAGAUAGCUGGUUCUCCCCGAAAGCUAUUUAGGUAGCGCCUCGUGAAUUCAUCUCCGGGGGUAGAGCACUGUUUCGGCAAGGGGGUCAUCCCGACUUACCAACCCGAUGCAAACUGCGAAUACCGGAGAAUGUUAUCACGGGAGACACACGGCGGGUGCUAACGUCCGUCGUGAAGAGGGAAACAACCCAGACCGCCAGCUAAGGUCCCAAAGUCAUGGUUAAGUGGGAAACGAUGUGGGAAGGCCCAGACAGCCAGGAUGUUGGCUUAGAAGCAGCCAUCAUUUAAAGAAAGCGUAAUAGCUCACUGGUCGAGUCGGCCUGCGCGGAAGAUGUAACGGGGCUAAACCAUGCACCGAAGCUGCGGCAGCGACGCUGAUGCGUUGUUGGGUAGGGGAGCGUUCUGUAAGCCUGUGAAGGUGUGCUGUGAGGCAUGCUGGAGGUAUCAGAAGUGCGAAUGCUGACAUAAGUAACGAUAAAGCGGGUGAAAAGCCCGCUCGCCGGAAGACCAAGGGUUCCUGUCCAACGUUAAUCGGGGCAGGGUGAGUCGACCCCUAAGGCGAGGCCGAAAGGCGUAGUCGAUGGGAAACAGGUUAAUAUUCCUGUACUUGGUGUUACUGCGAAGGGGGGACGGAGAAGGCUAUGUUGGCCGGGCGACGGUUGUCCCGGUUUAAGCGUGUAGGCUGGUUUUCCAGGCAAAUCCGGAAAAUCAAGGCUGAGGCGUGAUGACGAGGCACUACGGUGCUGAAGCAACAAAUGCCCUGCUUCCAGGAAAAGCCUCUAAGCAUCAGGUAACAUCAAAUCGUACCCCAAACCGACACAGGUGGUCAGGUAGAGAAUACCAAGGCGCUUGAGAGAACUCGGGUGAAGGAACUAGGCAAAAUGGUGCCGUAACUUCGGGAGAAGGCACGCUGAUAUGUAGGUGAAGCGACUUGCUCGUGGAGCUGAAAUCAGUCGAAGAUACCAGCUGGCUGCAACUGUUUAUUAAAAACACAGCACUGUGCAAACACGAAAGUGGACGUAUACGGUGUGACGCCUGCCCGGUGCCGGAAGGUUAAUUGAUGGGGUCAGCGCAAGCGAAGCUCUUGAUCGAAGCCCCGGUAAACGGCGGCCGUAACUAUAACGGUCCUAAGGUAGCGAAAUUCCUUGUCGGGUAAGUUCCGACCUGCACGAAUGGCGUAAUGAUGGCCAGGCUGUCUCCACCCGAGACUCAGUGAAAUUGAACUCGCUGUGAAGAUGCAGUGUACCCGCGGCAAGACGGAAAGACCCCGUGAACCUUUACUAUAGCUUGACACUGAACAUUGAGCCUUGAUGUGUAGGAUAGGUGGGAGGCUUUGAAGUGUGGACGCCAGUCUGCAUGGAGCCGACCUUGAAAUACCACCCUUUAAUGUUUGAUGUUCUAACGUGGACCCGUAAUCCGGGUUGCGGACAGUGUCUGGUGGGUAGUUUGACUGGGGCGGUCUCCUCCUAAAGAGUAACGGAGGAGCACGAAGGUUGGCUAAUCCUGGUCGGACAUCAGGAGGUUAGUGCAAUGGCAUAAGCCAGCUUGACUGCGAGCGUGACGGCGCGAGCAGGUGCGAAAGCAGGUCAUAGUGAUCCGGUGGUUCUGAAUGGAAGGGCCAUCGCUCAACGGAUAAAAGGUACUCCGGGGAUAACAGGCUGAUACCGCCCAAGAGUUCAUAUCGACGGCGGUGUUUGGCACCUCGAUGUCGGCUCAUCACAUCCUGGGGCUGAAGUAGGUCCCAAGGGUAUGGCUGUUCGCCAUUUAAAGUGGUACGCGAGCUGGGUUUAGAACGUCGUGAGACAGUUCGGUCCCUAUCUGCCGUGGGCGCUGGAGAAUUGAGGGGGGCUGCUCCUAGUACGAGAGGACCGGAGUGGACGCAUCACUGGUGUUCGGGUUGUCAUGCCAAUGGCACUGCCCGGUAGCUAAAUGCGGAAGAGAUAAGUGCUGAAAGCAUCUAAGCACGAAACUUGCCCCGAGAUGAGUUCUCCCUGACUCCUUGAGAGUCCUGAAGGAACGUUGAAGACGACGACGUUGAUAGGCCGGGUGUGUAAGCGCAGCGAUGCGUUGAGCUAACCGGUACUAAUGAACCGUGAGGCUUAACCUUACAACGCCGAAG
RNAcentral lists this ribosomal RNA (2925 nucleotides) under Escherichia coli. Its description in RNAcentral is "23S ribosomal RNA". It matches the Rfam family "Bacterial large subunit ribosomal RNA". The record is from RNAcentral. Lineage: Bacteria; Pseudomonadati; Pseudomonadota; Gammaproteobacteria; Enterobacterales; Enterobacteriaceae.